AUCUGAUAUUGUCAGUAAACCUAAAUUUUUUGUAUAUUAAUUUAUUUUUUAAGCUGUUAUUUAAUUUCAGGUGCUUAAGAGCGCUUCAAUUUGUUAAUGGAAAGAAACACCAUUUACACCGGAUGGCUACAAAGCAACCUUAUUCUGGAUAGCUUGUCAGUGCCCGCUUGGGUUUUUGAAUUCUGACUUUUUGCUGACCGUGAUUUGGCUGUCUCAUUAAUAAGCACUGCUCAAGGCCUUGCCUGAUCAAACACUCUCAGAAGCUCUCCCGCUAUCUACUCAGUCCAAACUGCAUCAAGUUCUCUGCAAGCAACCUGUCCCACCUCAUCCAUCUGUGCCCAGCUGGACCAGAACAUACAACUUACCACUUUCUCAAACUCAGCUUUUAUUUUUCUGCCUCUGCAACUUGAUCAUGCUCUUCUGCAUUCCUGUAUUGAUUCAAUAAAUAUUUAUUGAGCUCUUUACUUCCUGCCAGGUGCUGGGAAUAUAAGGGUGAAAAAGAAAGACAAUAUCUAGGCACUUAUGUGACUUAAUUUUUAGUAGAGGAUGGAGAUGGGCAGAAAAUAAUCCAGUAAAAAAAUUGAACACGAUAAUUUUCCAUAGUGCUUUAUAAGUACUAUAAAGAAAGUAAAAUAGAAUGUUAAUGAGUUUGUGUGGAGGAGUGAUGGGGGUGGAUAUGGGGCAUGUCCAGGUGGGAACUUUAGAGGGGCAGGUGCUCAGUGAAGGCUUUACAGAGAAGGUUAUAUUCCCCUUGAGACCAGCAGUGUGAAGCUCAUUCACAGACCAGAAGUAUUUCUGAUCCUGAGCAAGUGCAGAUGCCUGCAUGUAGGGGUGGCCUCGAAGGAUCCUGAGAGGAACAGAGCUGCCCUUGUGGCUGGCAGUCGGGGCUAGGAGAGUGGUGGAUGCUGCAGGAGACAAAGGCAGGCAAAGCCAUGCCUCUCAGGGCCUUGUGGAUGCUGUCUUCCAAAGCCACUGCAGGAAACCAUAGUUUGCCCUUUAAAGCCCUGUAAAGCCGUGAUCAAAUCCUUUCUUCAUAAUCAUUCCUGAUCCAGCUGGCUGAGCGCGCUCUUUCUGGACCACCAUUGCACAGUGGUGGUUCCUCUUAAGGCAUUUAACAUAGAACUUUGGGAUCUUGAUGUCUGUUCUUCCCAUGAGCUAUUAGAAUUUGUUUUCAUGUUGCUAUUUUGUUUCUACCUCACAAGGGACAAUACUUUAUUGUCUGGUAUGAGGAAAGUAGGGGGAGAAAAGGUAGAACACAGAAGAAGCCUAUCUUUUUUGAUUGAGUCACUUUGGAACGAACUGAGUUUCAGUGAAAUAAGCUUUCCUGUCGUAUAUUUGAGCUGAUUUUCACAGUGGCAAAUAUGACAAAUUUAAUUUUCCUUAAAAAUUGAUAAGACCAGUUGGAGUUCUAAAAGUGAUUUUUUCCACCCCUUGAAGAUCUUUUCUCAGAAUAGCAGUCUGUAGGCUGUCACCUAAAGUGUCCUGUUUUCAGUGCCACACCUGCUCUGAGCUUCAGCUUUUUAUGAAGACGUCAUGGUGUGCUAUCUGUACUAGGAACCUUUCCCCAGCAUCAGCCAGCUCCUGAAGAUAACAUUGUCUGCUAGAGAUUGUCAUGUAUGUGGAUUUUAUCUCUUUAUCUUCACGGUAAUUUUGGAGUUGUGUGUUAGACCUAUCUUACUGGUGAAAAGAAUGAAGGUUCGUAGAGGUCAUUGCUUGUUUGUCCCUAGGUUACGGAAUGAGAGAAUAGUGAACCUGACACUUGAAUCUGGGGCUACUGACCAAUUCCCUAUGAAGCGUCCAUGCUUUAACUAGUAACAUAGCAAAGACCAAGCACUUGCAAUUAUUUCUAGAUGAAGCCUUUGUGCUGUGAACCACUGUGAUCACUGUUGAUCGCAUUUUCCUUCUUGAACUCAUUUUCUAUUAAUAGGAGCAUUUAUCACAGACAGUGAGAAGCAGUUUGUGCAGUGGGGAAGAGCAUGGGCUGUCUGAAGCUAGACUGUCUGA
Cercocebus atys (sooty mangabey) is the source of this 2004-nucleotide long non-coding RNA. RefSeq lists it as uncharacterized. The record is from RefSeq and is a predicted model, not a curated record. NCBI's taxonomy places the organism in Eukaryota, Metazoa, Chordata, Mammalia, Primates, Cercopithecidae. The transcript is spliced from 3 exons.